UGACCUGUUCAAUGUUCCUACUUCACUCUU
This 30-nucleotide non-coding RNA is filed under the name Rattus norvegicus (Norway rat). The record is from RNAcentral. Lineage: Eukaryota; Metazoa; Chordata; Mammalia; Rodentia; Muridae.